Molecule: ribosomal RNA, 1554 nt
Filed under: Staphylococcus aureus
Lineage: Bacteria; Bacillati; Bacillota; Bacilli; Caryophanales; Staphylococcaceae
Description: 16S ribosomal RNA
Rfam family: Bacterial small subunit ribosomal RNA
Source: RNAcentral
UUUAUGGAGAGUUUGAUCCUGGCUCAGGAUGAACGCUGGCGGCGUGCCUAAUACAUGCAAGUCGAGCGAACGGACGAGAAGCUUGCUUCUCUGAUGUUAGCGGCGGACGGGUGAGUAACACGUGGAUAACCUACCUAUAAGACUGGGAUAACUUCGGGAAACCGGAGCUAAUACCGGAUAAUAUUUUGAACCGCAUGGUUCAAAAGUGAAAGACGGUCUUGCUGUCACUUAUAGAUGGAUCCGCGCUGCAUUAGCUAGUUGGUAAGGUAACGGCUUACCAAGGCAACGAUGCAUAGCCGACCUGAGAGGGUGAUCGGCCACACUGGAACUGAGACACGGUCCAGACUCCUACGGGAGGCAGCAGUAGGGAAUCUUCCGCAAUGGGCGAAAGCCUGACGGAGCAACGCCGCGUGAGUGAUGAAGGUCUUCGGAUCGUAAAACUCUGUUAUUAGGGAAGAACAUAUGUAUAAGUAACUGUGCACAUCUUGACGGUACCUAAUCAGAAAGCCACGGCUAACUACGUGCCAGCAGCCGCGGUAAUACGUAGGUGGCAAGCGUUAUCCGGAAUUAUUGGGCGUAAAGCGCGCGUAGGCGGUUUUUUAAGUCUGAUGUGAAAGCCCACGGCUCAACCGUGGAGGGUCAUUGGAAACUGGAAAACUUGAGUGCAGAAGAGGAAAGUGGAAUUCCAUGUGUAGCGGUGAAAUGCGCAGAGAUAUGGAGGAACACCAGUGGCGAAGGCGACUUUCUGGUCUGUAACUGACGCUGAUGUGCGAAAGCGUGGGGAUCAAACAGGAUUAGAUACCCUGGUAGUCCACGCCGUAAACGAUGAGUGCUAAGUGUUAGGGGGUUUCCGCCCCUUAGUGCUGCAGCUAACGCAUUAAGCACUCCGCCUGGGGAGUACGACCGCAAGGUUGAAACUCAAAGGAAUUGACGGGGACCCGCACAAGCGGUGGAGCAUGUGGUUUAAUUCGAAGCAACGCGAAGAACCUUACCAAAUCUUGACAUCCUUUGACAACUCUAGAGAUAGAGCCUUCCCCUUCGGGGGACAAAGUGACAGGUGGUGCAUGGUUGUCGUCAGCUCGUGUCGUGAGAUGUUGGGUUAAGUCCCGCAACGAGCGCAACCCUUAAGCUUAGUUGCCAUCAUUAAGUUGGGCACUCUAAGUUGACUGCCGGUGACAAACCGGAGGAAGGUGGGGAUGACGUCAAAUCAUCAUGCCCCUUAUGAUUUGGGCUACACACGUGCUACAAUGGACAAUACAAAGGGCAGCGAAACCGCGAGGUCAAGCAAAUCCCAUAAAGUUGUUCUCAGUUCGGAUUGUAGUCUGCAACUCGACUACAUGAAGCUGGAAUCGCUAGUAAUCGUAGAUCAGCAUGCUACGGUGAAUACGUUCCCGGGUCUUGUACACACCGCCCGUCACACCACGAGAGUUUGUAACACCCGAAGCCGGUGGAGUAACCUUUUAGGAGCUAGCCGUCGAAGGUGGGACAAAUGAUUGGGGUGAAGUCGUAACAAGGUAGCCGUAUCGGAAGGUGCGGCUGGAUCACCUCCUUUCU